This 288-nucleotide ribosomal RNA is filed under the name Triticum aestivum (bread wheat). RNAcentral describes it as "partial small subunit ribosomal RNA". The record is from RNAcentral. Lineage: Eukaryota; Viridiplantae; Streptophyta; Magnoliopsida; Poales; Poaceae.
AUGAUGAGUUCUUCUUCCGGCAGGUUGUGUCGUCAGGUGACGCUGCCACUCCUCCUCAUGCUGCUGCUGCUCCUGUUCUUGAGUUCGUCAUCGUUGGCGUUGGCCGACGUCGACGCGAGUGCGCAGUACCGGCAGGCCCGGCGGCUGCUGGUGUCGCCGCCGUCGACGCACAAGUCGGAGCAGCGGAUGCGGGUCGACGGCGCCAAGAGGCCCUUCAGGAACGCCGGCGCGAUCCUGGGCCGCCGGAAGAUACCAAGCUCCCGCUGGAAUCCCAUCCACAACAGAUAA